This 253-nucleotide ribosomal RNA is filed under the name uncultured bacterium. Its description in RNAcentral is "partial 16S ribosomal RNA". It matches the Rfam family "Bacterial small subunit ribosomal RNA", at positions 524 to 776 of the family's 1533-position model. The record is from RNAcentral.
UACGAAGGGGGCUAGCGUUGCUCGGAAUCACUGGGCGUAAAGCGCACGUAGGCGGAUCGUUAAGUCGGGGGUGAAAUCCUGGAGCUCAACUCCAGAACUGCCUUCGAUACUGGCGAUCUAGAGUCCGGAAGAGGUGAGUGGAACUCCUAGUGUAGAGGUGGAAUUCGUAGAUAUUAGGAAGAACACCAGUGGCGAAGGCGGCUCACUGGUCCGGUACUGACGCUGAGGUGCGAAAGCGUGGGGAGCAAACAGG